AUCACUUCUCAACUCCCAGAGCUAUGAUCACCUGCAAUAUCUGUUUUUUUUUUUUGUAAUGUAACUUUUGUAAUGGCUCCUAGUUUGAGAUCAUUAAAGUUGAUCGUAAUUCUUACUAACUGGGAUGGAUGCUGUGAGCUUGCUCAACCCCGUCCACGGGUCAGCCUUGCAUUGCAUUACCUCGAGGGCUGGUCCACUUAUA
This 202-nucleotide small nuclear RNA is filed under the name Taenia asiatica. RNAcentral's name for it is "U2 spliceosomal RNA". It matches the Rfam family "U2 spliceosomal RNA". From Rfam's summary of the family: U2 is a small nuclear RNA (snRNA) component of the spliceosome (involved in pre-mRNA splicing). Complementary binding between U2 snRNA (in an area lying towards the 5' end but 3' to hairpin I) and the branchpoint sequence (BPS) of the intron results the bulging out of an unpaired adenosine, on the BPS, which initiates a nucleophilic attack at the intronic 5' splice site, thus starting the first of two transesterification reactions that mediate splicing. Lineage: Eukaryota; Metazoa; Platyhelminthes; Cestoda; Cyclophyllidea; Taeniidae. The record is from Rfam by way of RNAcentral.